This 328-nucleotide ribosomal RNA is filed under the name uncultured Neocallimastigales. RNAcentral's name for it is "partial large subunit ribosomal RNA". Lineage: Eukaryota; Fungi; Neocallimastigomycota; Neocallimastigomycetes; Neocallimastigales. The record is from RNAcentral.
GUUGUUUAGUUGAAAAUUAAUUAAAUAAUUUUUGAUUUUGAGUAGUAUUGACUUCAUCAGCUUGCUGCUUUCUUUUCGGAAAUUAUUUAAUGCACUUUUCAGUUAACAAGUCAACAUCAAUUUCUUUUGUUGUAAAAGGGUAAGAGGAAGGUGGCUUACAUUUCGGUGUAAGUGUUUAUAGCCUUUUACCUCUGCAAUCGGAGAGAUUGAGGUCAGCAGCGUAGACUCUUCGGGGUUAGAUACACUUGUGCUAAGCUAUAGCCUUGUAUAGACAACUUGUUGACUAUGCUCAGUCAUGUAGCUUACUCGCUUGUAGUAUUUUACCUAC